This 497-nucleotide ribosomal RNA is filed under the name uncultured bacterium. Its description in RNAcentral is "partial 16S ribosomal RNA". It matches the Rfam family "Bacterial small subunit ribosomal RNA", at positions 28 to 507 of the family's 1533-position model. The record is from RNAcentral.
GACGAACGCUGGCGGCGUGCCUAAUACAUGCAAGUUGAGCGCUGAAGGUUGGUACUUGUACCAACUGGAUGAGCAGCGAACGGGUGAGUAACGCGUGGGGAAUCUGCCUUUGAGCGGGGGACAACAUUUGGAAACGAAGGCUAAUACCGCAUAAAAACUUUAAACACAAGUUUUAAGUUUGAAAGAUGCAAUUGCAUCACUCAAAGAUGAUCCCGCGUUGUAUUAGCUAGUUGGUGAGGUAAAGGCUCACCAAGGCGAUGAUACAUAGCCGACCUGAGAGGGUGAUCGGCCACAUUGGGACUGAGACACGGCCCAAACUCCUACGGGAGGCAGCAGGAGGGAAUCUUCGGCAAUGGACGAAAGUCUGACCGAGCAACGCCGCGUGAGUGAAGAAGGUUUUCGGAUCGUAAAACUCUGUUGGUAGAGAAGAACGUUGGUGAGAGUGGAAAGCUCAUCAAGUGACGGUAACUACCCAGAAAGGUACGGCUAACUACGUG